AUGCAGUCGAGCGGUAAGGCCUUUCGGGGUACACGAGCGGCGAACGGGUGAGUAACACGUGGGUGAUCUGCCCUGCACUUCGGGAUAAGCCUGGGAAACUGGGUCUAAUACCGGAUAUGACCUCCUAUCGCAUGGUGGGUGGUGGAAAGAUUUAUCGGUGCAGGAUGGGCCCGCGGCCUAUCAGCUUGUUGGUGGGGUAAUGGCCUACCAAGGCGACGACGGGUAGCCGACCUGAGAGGGUGACCGGCCACACUGGGACUGAGACACGGCCCAGACUCCUACGGGAGGCAGCAGUGGGGAAUAUUGCACAAUGGGCGAAAGCCUGAUGCAGCGACGCCGCGUGAGGGAUGACGGCCUUCGGGUUGUAAACCUCUUUCAGCAGGGACGAAGCGCAAGUGACGGUACCUGCAGAAGAAGCACCGGCUAACUACGUGCCAGCAGCCGCGGUAAUACGUAGGGUGCAAGCGUUGUCCGGAAUUACUGGGCGUAAAGAGUUCGUAGGCGGUUUGUCGCGUCGUUUGUGAAAACCAGCAGCUCAACUGCUGGCUUGCAGGCGAUACGGGCAGACUUGAGUACUGCAGGGGAGACUGGAAUUCCUGGUGUAGCGGUGAAAUGCGCAGAUAUCAGGAGGAACACCGGUGGCGAAGGCGGGUCUCUGGGCAGUAACUGACGCUGAGGAACG
Molecule: ribosomal RNA, 682 nt
Filed under: actinobacterium CA6
Lineage: Bacteria; Bacillati; Actinomycetota; Actinomycetes
Description: bacterial SSU rRNA
Rfam family: Bacterial small subunit ribosomal RNA
Source: RNAcentral